UGGGUAUUGACUUCCAUAUCCCAUAUUGGCAAACCUUAAAUCCAACUCUGUGUUUUAAAACUCUUUUGUGACUCAAUUUGAGUUGAAGUUUUGCCACUAUGAAAAUAUAUAGAUAGCCAUUUUAACUCCCAACUCUCAUAUGACUUUCCCUCAAUCCAUAAACCCAAACAACAUAAAGAAAAAACUAACUCCCCCAACCAACUGUUCAACAUUUUACUCUCUCUUUAUUCCUCUGCUUUUGGCUUCUCUUCUUCAGCUGGUGCUGCAGCUUCUGAGCUCUCUUCAACGGCAUCUUCACUUUUCACUUCCUUAGUCUCUUCUUCUGUUUUCUCCUCAACUGCCUCCACUGUUUCCUCCUUGGUCUCUUCCUCCUUCUUUUCGGCCUCGGCCUCGGCCGGUGCUUCGGGUUCCGCUGCAGGCUCUGCCUCCUCUGGCUUGCUCUCCUUCUCUUCUACAACUUCUUCCUUGGUUUCGACUUCCGGUUCAGUUGCGACGGGUGCCUCCUCCACAGGUUCAGGGGCAGCAGGGGCAGCAGCUUCCUCCUCCUGUUCUUGAGCUGGGGUUUCUUCAGCCACUGGCUCUUCUACAACUUUCUCCUCAGGUUGGACUGCUGGAGCUGCCUCAGGCUCUGGCAAUACUACUGGGACUGAUUCAACCUACAAAACCCAGAUCACACACAAUUGAUUAUUAAAUUGGAAGUUGAUUUUUAGUAAUGAUGGGAUCCAAUGGCAAUGACUUAAAAGGAACACGUUGUGAUUGUUCACCAGCUUUAUAUGAUCAUUUUCAUACGAGAGAAUGUUCGUUAAUAAAUGACCGAAAGCGAAGAAAAAUAUAAUAUAAUAUACAUGGUCUAACAAGGCCAUGAGUUUGUUUUUUCAUUUGCUAGUAGAGUACGAUCCAAUAUAUUUAUAUAGAUCGAGAGAGAGAGAGAGAUCAUUUGAAUGCAUAAAUGAGAAAAAUCCCAGCUUGCAAGAUCAAUCAAAUGGAACUCGAUCAAACUUAAAUAAACAUAUGUAGGAAAUGACUUAAGAGAGAAAGAGAGAGUUAGAAUGAGAGAAGAGAAGCAAAAACAAGACUUUGAAAGAGGUAUAAGAAGCUUGAAUUACC
This 1107-nucleotide long non-coding RNA is filed under the name Cucumis sativus (cucumber). RNAcentral describes it as "long non-coding RNA (CSAT_LNC002535)". The record is from RNAcentral. Lineage: Eukaryota; Viridiplantae; Streptophyta; Magnoliopsida; Cucurbitales; Cucurbitaceae.